This 475-nucleotide ribosomal RNA is filed under the name uncultured bacterium. Its description in RNAcentral is "SSU rRNA". It matches the Rfam family "Bacterial small subunit ribosomal RNA", at positions 26 to 521 of the family's 1533-position model. The record is from RNAcentral.
AGGAUGAACGCUGGCGGCGUGCCUAACACAUGCAAGUCGAACGUCCUGUCUCGCAAGAGGCAGGGAGUGGCGGACGGGUGAGUACCACGUGGGUCAUCUACCGUGAGGUGAGGAAUACCGGCGAGAAAUCGCCGACAAGACCGCAUAGGCUCGAUGCAAGUCGAGCAAAGCUCUUUCGAGAGAGGGAGCGCCACACGAGGAGCCUGCGCCCGAUUAGCUAGCUGGUGGAGUAACGGUUCACCAGGGCGACGAUCGGUAGCUGGUCUGAGAGGACGAUCAGCCACACUGGGAUUGAGAACGGCCCAGACUCCUACGGGGGGCAGCAGUGAGGAAUUUUCGUCAAUGGGGGCAACCCUGAACGAGCAACGCCGCGUGCAGGAAGAAGGUUUCGGAUCGUAAACUGCUUUUCUCGGGGAAGAGAAUGGACGGUACCCGAGGAAUCAGCCCCGGCUAACUACGCGCCAGCAGCCGCGGU